GGACUACAAGGGUUUCUAAUCCUGUUUGCUCCCCACGCUUUCGUGCCUCAGCGUCAGGACAGGCCCAGCCGGACGGCUUCCCCAUCGGCAUUCCAGUUGAUAUCUACGCAUUUCACCGCUCCACCAACUGUUCUUCCGGCCCCUACCUGCCUCAAGCCCGCCAGUUUGCCCUGCUGUUCCACAGUUGAGCUGUGGGAUUUCACAAAGCACUUGGCGGGCCGCCUACGCACCCUUUAAGCCCAGUGAUUCCGACUAACGCUCGAGCCCCCUGUAUUACCGCGGCUGCUGGCAC
Molecule: ribosomal RNA, 292 nt
Filed under: uncultured bacterium
Lineage: Bacteria
Also listed under: 1 other name
Description: partial 16S ribosomal RNA
Source: RNAcentral